This 656-nucleotide ribosomal RNA is filed under the name Sterigmatomyces halophilus. RNAcentral's name for it is "eukaryotic LSU rRNA". The stretch from base 194 to 348 matches the Rfam family "5.8S ribosomal RNA". Lineage: Eukaryota; Fungi; Basidiomycota; Agaricostilbomycetes; Agaricostilbales; Agaricostilbaceae. The record is from RNAcentral.
UCCGUAGGUGAACCUGCGGAAGGAUCAUUAAUGAAUUCGGGCGCUCGACUCUGAAAUAUUGAGAUCGGCCCCAUUUCUUAAUCCACUUCACACUUGUGCACAUUUUUCCUACUUUCCUUCGGGAGAGUUUGAAAAGCUCUUGUGAUUUUAAUCAAGUCCAGGAUGUGAAUCCAAUUUGAAUAAGUUGUAAAACAACUACAAACGGUGGAUCUCUUGGCUCUCGUAUCGAUGAAGAACGCAGCGAAACGCGAAAUGUAAUGUGAAUUGCAGAAUUCAGUGAAUCAUCGAAUCUUUGAACGCAUCUUGCACUCUCGAAUCACUAUCGAGAGUAUGCCUGUUUGAGUGUCGCGAAACUCUCAACCCCGCCUCAUGCUUUAUUGCGUGUGGGUAGCUUGGGCUUGGAUCAUGAUCUUUGCAGUAAUGCGCUAGCAGAACUGCUGGAUUGAAAUACAACAAGCUGAAUCUAUAUACUUGCGGCUUGACCUGUCGUUGUAAGCACACAAAUGCAUUCGAUGGGGACGCGAGAAAAUGGAAUGAGCUUUCCAAAUGUGUUACACUUUGCAGCUUCUAUUAACUUAGAGCUCUUAGUGCAUUCUGACCUCAAAUCAGGUAGGAUUACCCGCUGAACUUAAGCAUAUCAAUAAGCGGAGGAAAAG